Long non-coding RNA from Bubalus bubalis (water buffalo), 476 nucleotides. RefSeq lists it as uncharacterized. NCBI's taxonomy places the organism in Eukaryota, Metazoa, Chordata, Mammalia, Artiodactyla, Bovidae. The transcript has 3 exons. The record is from RefSeq and is a predicted model, not a curated record.
UUCCCGCAACUGCCUUAGCCCCGCCCAUUCCCAGAGCUGGCCAAUCGCCGCUCCGCUGGAGACGCUGGCCCACCAAUCCAUGGACGGCCCUGCCCCAGGCCCGCAAGGCCUUUCGGGGGUUGUGGCCUCCAGGGGGUAGCGGGUCGCGGUGGAGCUGAGGUGUAGUGGGGCACCAGGUUAGUUAACCAGCAGGUCUUGCGUGCGUCUCACCCUCUGCUUUGAGAUGCUAGUCAAUCCCUUUCUUCGUGACAACAAAUCAGAUAAAAGGGGGAAGAGGUGAGAGAGAUUCUCUGGUGUAUAUCCCAGAGUGGAAAAGCUGGGUUGUACUGUAUGAGAGUAUUCAACUUGAAAUUCUGAAUCAUUUUCCAAGGCUACUGAAUCGGUUUGUAUUCCCAGCAUUGGGCUGUGCAUAGCAUUGCAUUUGGCGAAGAAGGCAAUGGCACCCCACUCCAGUACUCUCGCCUGGAGAGUCCCAU